GAUGAACGCUAGCUACAGGCUUAACACAUGCAAGUCGAGGGGCAGCAUGUUGGUUGCUUGCAACCAACGAUGGCGACCGGCGCACGGGUGAGUAACGCGUAUCCAACCUUCCGCAUACUCGGGAAUAGCCUUUCGAAAGAAAGAUUAAUGCCCGAUGGUUUCCCGAACCCGCAUGAGCGCGGGAAUAAAGAUUCAUCGGUAUGCGAUGGGGAUGCGUCCCAUUAGCUUGUUGGCGGGGUAACGGCCCACCAAGGCUACGAUGGGUAGGGGUUCUGGGCGGAAGGUCCCCCACAUUGGAACUGAGAGACGGUCCUAACUCCUGCGGGAGGCAGCAGUGAGGAAUAUUGGUCAAUGGGCGAGAGCCUGAACCAGCCAAGUAGCGUGAGGGAUGACCGCCCUACGGGUCGUAAGCCUCUUUUAUAAGGGAAUAAAGAUAAGUACGCGUACUUAGUUGCAUGUACCUUAUGAAUAAGCAUCGGCUAACUCCGUGCCAGCAGCCGCCGUAA
This 506-nucleotide ribosomal RNA is filed under the name uncultured bacterium. Its description in RNAcentral is "partial 16S ribosomal RNA". It matches the Rfam family "Bacterial small subunit ribosomal RNA", at positions 28 to 523 of the family's 1533-position model. The record is from RNAcentral.